UCCUUCUUCCAAUUUUGCCCCCCAAUUGAAUGUCAUCAAACCUAAUUGAUGAAUGAAACUGAAUAAUCAAUGUCGUAGUUCCCCAAUCGAUUCAUUGUGAAGAGACUACAUCAUAUUCCCUUAAUAAGUUCCUAAGUUGUAUCAAUUUCUCAAACAAAAUCAAACCCUAAUGUUCCAAUCAAUGUCAAUCGAUCAAACAGUAUGAAUCCGCUGGUGAUGGUAGCGAUGGGUUUUUUUAGAACCCUAAUCCUCUACCGCUUCCGGCGGCGGAAUGGGUACGAACCCAGGCGGCACUAACCACAGGGAAUAGUCCGAUGAUGAUGAUGACAGGUUCAUUCGAAGGCUAAACGACUUAAUAAGCCCGCAUUGAAGAAUUCAUGAGUUGGCAGGCGGGCUAGAUUUUGGAUUGUUUAUUAGAAACAGCAGAAUAUCGUAUUUGUCAAGAGGAAGAUUCAGUUGAUACUUUAGAGACUCCGUGUGCUUACAACGGCAGUCUUAAGUAUGCUCACAGGAAGUGUGCCCAACAUUGGUGCAACGAAAAGGGUGACAUCACUUGUGAAAUAUGCGACCAACCUUACCAACCUGGCUAUAUUGCUCCCCCUCCCUGACCUCGUUUGGAAGAGACUACUAUCGAUAUCGGCAUCGAGCAGGUGUUGAUCAACAAUACCAACAUCAUUUACAUUUUAGUUCACCUGCUCGAUCAUCAAAAUGGAAAAAAAAAAAGAUGUUUCAUAGGACAGACCCGACAAGUGUGGGCCCCACUAAGGGUAACGGAGUAGGCGAAGUGAAGCAAGCAACAUGGGUAAAUUCGGAAAAACAACCUGCUGAUGAUGGUAACCUGUGUUAUGCCAUUCCAGAGGAUGAUAACUGGACUGACCAGUGCAUUGACUUUGCAGUCAAAACACAUUUGCAAAUGAAAUUUUGUUUAAUGGUCAGCCAAGUGGAGACUACAGGUGAAGUGAUGGGUCGUGGGUUUCUCAUUGAUUAUUGAGGUAAUUAGACUUUGAUAUCAUGUUGUGUAUGUUGAUUACUUCUAUGAAUUUUGGUUGCCAUCGUUCGUGGUUAAAUAUGGCAGUUCCUGAUUUUAAUAUUUUUAA
Long non-coding RNA from Helianthus annuus (common sunflower), 1097 nucleotides. RefSeq lists it as uncharacterized. NCBI's taxonomy places the organism in Eukaryota, Viridiplantae, Streptophyta, Magnoliopsida, Asterales, Asteraceae. The transcript has 5 exons. The record is from RefSeq and is a predicted model, not a curated record.